Non-coding RNA from Sturnus vulgaris (Common starling), 400 nucleotides. Lineage: Eukaryota; Metazoa; Chordata; Aves; Passeriformes; Sturnidae. The record is from RefSeq and is a predicted model, not a curated record.
GCCCUGUGAUUAUUUGCCUGCUGGGAUCCAGCCUCACCUGGGAGGCCACACCAUCAUCACCCUGUCUAACACCUCUCUGGACACUCUGCACAUCCUCAGCUGGCCAAACCACCCCUUGGUGCUGUCUCACAUGGGCUGACAUGAGGCACUCUCAGAAUGGCCACAGCAGACAGUGUUGGCAAACCCAGCUCUCAAGGAGAAAGGCAGAUGAAGGGGUCUGCAGCCCCACACCAUCCCUUCCUGCCAUAUCUGACACCUUGGAGAUUGUGAUGAGUCUGCUGUGGAAAAAGUCAGGUGGACAGAGAACACCUUCCAGUGACUGAGAGAUGAAGCUUUGGAACACCAGGCAACCAGCUCAGCCUGGGUCAGCAAAUGGAGUGUGGAGAUGAGCUGUAAGUAA